Molecule: long non-coding RNA, 799 nt
Organism: Schistocerca serialis cubense
Lineage: Eukaryota; Metazoa; Arthropoda; Insecta; Orthoptera; Acrididae
Exons: 3
Source: RefSeq, a predicted model, not a curated record
GAGCAGACGCGAGUACUCGCGCUCAAAACCGGCCAGUUGUAAAAGCCCUGCUGUAGUUGUAUAUAUAAGUUUGGAUGUAGCUGUAUUGCAUUGAUGUACUGGUGGAUAUUGUGUGAAGGGAUGGAAGUGCAUGGACAUGGGCUUGUGUCUGCAACAACUGUUACUGAUGGUGUACCUGCAGCUGGACAUGUCACAGCGUAAACCGUCUACGAUGAGGAUGAUGUACCCGCAACCACACAUGUGGCUGUGCUGCCCAUCUAUGACAAUGACGAUAUAUCAGUGGUUUGACUAUCACCACCCAGCCUGUCUAUGAUGACAAUGAUGUUUCCAUGGCAGCAGACGUGACACAGCCUGGACCAUCUAUGACAAGAAUGAUGUACCCAUGGCUAGAUGUGUUGCAGCCCAGCCCAUCUACAAUGAUGCUGCAUCUGCCAACAUCACAGCCCAGCCUGUCAUCGACACAAUGGCACGGCAUUACAACUUCAGCCCACUUGCCAUGGUCUAGGCCACACUUGCUUAUCAGGUUGAGUGCUAGUAUGACACCAGUCACAACAAAGUCGAAUCUUUUAUCAGGGAUAAUCCUGAGAGGUGGUUGCCAUCUGAGUUCACAAAACUCGCAUGGAAGGUUGAUGGGAUUUAUCAAAAAAGCGUCCCUAUGACCUACUCGCUUUAGAAUGGUGCUGUGGGGAUACCACAAGAAAGCCACCUCUCUGGCCAUUGACUGCAUUCCUUCCAAGUGUAUCUUUGUAAGGUGGACUCAGUUCACUAAAUGACUGCCAAGCAGUGUGACAUGUCUUUU